GAAUUGUAAAUAAUAAAAUCUAGAGUAGUAUUAGUUAAGAUCUUGAAACUCAAAAAAUUUGGCGGUAUUUUAGUCUAUUUAGAGGAACCUGUAGUAUAAUCGAUAAUCCACGAUGGACCUCACUUAAUUUUGUUUUUCAGUUUGUAUACCGCUGUUAUUUGAAAAUUUUAUAAGAAUAUUAAUUUUCAUAAUUUUUAAUUAAAAAAUAAAUCAGGUCAAGGUGCAGCUUAUGAUUAAGUAUUUAUGGGUUACAAUAAAUUUAUUUAUAUGAAUUAAGGCAUGAAAAUUGUUUUUUGAAAGCGGAUUUAAUAGUAAAUUUUUAAAGAUAAAAGAAUUGAUU
This 340-nucleotide ribosomal RNA is filed under the name Gymnopternus aerosus. RNAcentral describes it as "partial 12S ribosomal RNA". The record is from RNAcentral. Lineage: Eukaryota; Metazoa; Arthropoda; Insecta; Diptera; Dolichopodidae.